UUUUGACCCCAGUUGUUAUUUUGUAAUUUUCAAAAUGAUCCCUGCCUUGCCGUGUCUUGACUUCAGUUAACCAUGUCUAAAAGUGUCUUGAUCAUAUCCAAAAUGUGUCUUGACCGUUGACCUGUGUUCAAGCCUUGUCCGAGGUGUGUCCGCGUGUUUGACACUCCGACACGUCGGCCUGAUAGAGUGUCGUACUAUAUAGUUUUCACCCACCAUUAUUCCUAAAAUACUCUUUAAUUAUUAAUUCAAGCAUAUUCUCAAUAAAAAUAAAAUUAAAGCCGAGUUGGUGACAUUAGUAAGUUGGGUGUGCUAAAUAAGCAAUCCCUCCUGCACCAUGGCUUUCUAUCAUGCUUAUUAUUCAUUUAGUAUUGUAUGGGAUAAAGCCUAACCAUAGGCAAAGGAUUAACGGCCCCUUUGUUGGGACUGCUGGCAAUCACCUUGGAUAAGCAAUCCCAUAAAAAUGCCAGGAAUUAAUAAGCCUACUUUUAAUUAAUUAUAGAUCUCGUUAUUUCUUUCAACCUUGUAAAAGAGAUGGAGAUCAAUUGAGAUGGGCAUGAGACGUGAGGUUACAGACCUUAGAAAAGUUAGGGUUAAUUUCAAUUUUAAUUUUAGUGAAAACUGUUUUGAGAAAUGAAUAAAAUAAAAUAAGUGGGUUAUGUAAGUGGAGGUUUUUUUUCUUAAAUUCUUAUAAGUCAUUUUAUAAAGAGAUAAAUUUGUCCUUAAAUUUUAAAGUUAAAGUAAGUGGAAAAAUAAGAUAUGAAAUGGAAAUAGCAGCACUUACAAAUUUAGAGGGAUAAUAUAACACAAACUCCGAUGUGUGCAAAGCCCAAUAUUUGGUGUUUUUGACAAAAACCAGCCACAGUAAAUUAAGUCUGCUCUGUCUCUGCUGGACCAAAGUCCUUCUUCUCCACACCCUUUUCCUUCAAAAGACUGAAAGUGGCCACCAUUUUGAAAAUGAACACACACCAAACUUGGAACCCAAACAAGUGCACAAGAUGCUCUUUGACUGUCUGAUUUGUCCAAUUGGUGCUGCCACAAAACUGCAAAACCAUCCAAUCUGAAAUUAUGAAAAUUAUGAAAAUCAUGCAGAGAGAGAGAGAGAGAGAGAGAUCAAAUAGGGGACCAUUUGUCAUUAAAUUAAUAUAAUUUUUUAUUCAUUUAUAAUAUGCAAUAAGUUAUUUUUCUUCUCCACAUCAGUGUCUGCUCGCGAUUCCCAAUGGAGGAGGGGAGGUAAAGGCUAAAGAAAGUGGGAGAAGCAAAGAAGAAUUAUUGGGGAAAAUAUGUCUGUUUGCUUGCUGGGUUUGGUGGUAUUAUAAUAUAGCUAGCCAGGUACAAGUAUUAUAAAUGUGGCUGUGGGGAAGAAGAUAAGGAACCAGUGAUAAUGCAAAGUUAAAAAUCCCACCCAACAGCAAGAUCUCUC
RNAcentral lists this long non-coding RNA (1420 nucleotides) under Prunus persica (peach). RNAcentral describes it as "long non-coding RNA (PPER_LNC001457)". Lineage: Eukaryota; Viridiplantae; Streptophyta; Magnoliopsida; Rosales; Rosaceae. The record is from RNAcentral.